AACGGAGGGAACAAGUGUUAUUCGUAUUAAUGGGUGUAGAACGCGCGUAGAUGGCAUUUUUAGUUUAGUUUUAAAUUUUUAAAAUUAUUUAAGUGAAAUUUUAUACGAAAAUGCUUGAGUGCUUAUAAUACAACAGUAUCUUAAGUGUAAGGUGAAAUCUAAAAAAACUUUGAGACUAGCAAUUAGCGUAGGCGGUGUUAAGAAGUAAACUGACAUUGAGGCGCUAAAGCUUAGUAGCAAAUAGGAUUAGAGACCCUAGUAGUCUAGGCUUCACCUAUGAAUGUUAAUCAUAUAAUAAUUAUGUGGUUAGUUAACGCGAAAACAUUCUACCUGAGUACUACGGCCGCAAGGUGAAACUCAAAGAAAUUGGCGGAAAACCGU
RNAcentral lists this ribosomal RNA (381 nucleotides) under uncultured eukaryote. RNAcentral describes it as "mitochondrial SSU rRNA". It matches the Rfam family "Bacterial small subunit ribosomal RNA", at positions 524 to 924 of the family's 1533-position model. The record is from RNAcentral.